RNAcentral lists this ribosomal RNA (277 nucleotides) under uncultured bacterium. RNAcentral describes it as "partial 16S ribosomal RNA". It matches the Rfam family "Bacterial small subunit ribosomal RNA", at positions 524 to 793 of the family's 1533-position model. The record is from RNAcentral.
UACGGGAGGGUGCGAGCGUUUAAUCGGAAUUACGUGGGACGUAAAGCGCAUGCAGGUGGUUUGUUAAGUCAGAUGUGAAAGCCCGGGGCUCAACCUCGGUAAUUGCAUUUAGAAACUGGACAAACUAGAGUACUGUAGAGGGGGGUAGAAUUUCAGGUGUAGCGGUGAAAUGCGUAGAGAUCUGAAGGAAUACCGGUGGCGAAGGCGGCCCCCUGGACAGAUACUGACACUCAGAUGCGAAAGCGUGGGGAGCAAACAGGAUUAGAUACCCUGGUAG